Molecule: ribosomal RNA, 253 nt
Filed under: uncultured bacterium
Lineage: Bacteria
Description: partial 16S ribosomal RNA
Rfam family: Bacterial small subunit ribosomal RNA
Source: RNAcentral
UACGGAGGAUCCAAGCGUUAUCCGGAAUCAUUGGGUUUAAAGGGUGCGUAGGCGGUUCCAUAAGUCAGUGGUGAAAUACGGCAGCUCAACUGUCGAGGUGCCAUUGAUACUGCGGAACUUGAGUACUGAUGAGGUAGGCGGAAUUGACGGUGUAGCGGUGAAAUGCUUAGAUAUCGUCAAGAACACCGAUAGCGAAGGCAGCUUACCAAGCAGUAACUGACGCUGAGGCACGAAAGUGCGGGGAUCAAACAGG